ACUUGGACUUGGGCGUCUUGCCAGCUUUGCCUGGCUCGCCUUAAUGGUGUCAGUGGGACUUUGCUUCCGAUCAUCAGACGUAAUAAGUUUCGUCUGUUUGGGAGGUGAGGGCUUGCUUACAACCCCCGUGCUUUGGCACAACUUUUUUCGAUCUGACCUCAAAUCAGGUAGGGCUACCCGCUGAACUUAAGCAUAUCAAUAAGCGGAGGAAAAGAAACUAACAAGGAUUCCCCUAGUAACGGCGAGUGAACAGGGAAGAGCUCAAAUUUGAAAUCUGGCGUGCUCAGUGCGUCCGAGUUGUAAUCUAUAGAGUCGUUUUCCGUGCCGGACCGUGUCCAAGUUCCUUGGAACAGGAUAUCAAAGAGGGUGACAAUCCCGUACUUGACACGACCACCGGUGCUCUGUGAUACGUCUUCUACGAGUCGAGUUGUUUGGGAAUGCAGCUCAAAAUGGGUGGUGAGUUCCAUCUAAAGCUAAAUAUUGGCGAGAGACCGAUAGCGAACAAGUACCGUGAGGGAAAGAUGAAAAGCACUUUGGAAAGAGAGUUAAACAGUACGUGAAAUUGUUGAAAGGGAAACGAUUGAAGUCAGUCGUGUCCGAGAGGCUCAGCCGGUUCUGCCGGUGUAUUCCUCUCGGAUGGGUCAACAUCAGUUUUGUCCGGUGGAUAAGGGCGGCAGGAAUGUAUCACCCCAGGGUGUGUUAUAGCCUGCCGUCGCAUACAUCGGGUGAGACUGAGGAAUGCAGCUCGCCUUUAUUGGCCGGGGUUCGCCCACGUCCGAGCUUAGGAUGUUGACGUAAUGGCUUUAAACGACCCGU
Molecule: ribosomal RNA, 816 nt
Filed under: Tremella sp. UFMGCMYAnt408
Lineage: Eukaryota; Fungi; Basidiomycota; Tremellomycetes; Tremellales; Tremellaceae
Description: eukaryotic LSU rRNA
Rfam family: Eukaryotic large subunit ribosomal RNA (bases 154-816)
Source: RNAcentral